CUACGUGCCAGCAGCCGCGGUAAUACGGAAGGUCCUGGCGUUAUCCGGAUUUAUUGGGUUUAAAGGGAGCGUAGGCUGGAGAUUAAGUGUGUUGUGAAAUGUAGACGCUCAACGUCUGACUUGCAGCGCAUACUGGUUUCCUUGAGUACGCACAACGUUGGCGGAAUUCGUCGUGUAGCGGUGAAAUGCUUAGAUAUGACGAAGAACUCCGAUUGCGAAGGCAGCUGACGGGAGCGCAACUGACGCUGAAGCUCGAAGGUGCGGGUAUCGAACAGGAUUAGAUACCCUGGUAGUCCGCACAGUAAACGAUGGAUGCCCGCUGUUGGUACGUGGUAUCAGCGGCUAAGCGAAAGCAUUAAGCAUCCCACCUGGGGAGUACGCCGGCAACGGUGAAACUCAAAGGAAUUGACGGGGGCCCGCACAAGCGGAGGAACAUGUGGUUUAAUUCGAUGAUACGCGAGGAACCUUACCCGGGCUUAAUUGCAGAGGAAGUAUUUAGAGAUAAUGACG
RNAcentral lists this ribosomal RNA (510 nucleotides) under uncultured bacterium. Its description in RNAcentral is "bacterial SSU rRNA". It matches the Rfam family "Bacterial small subunit ribosomal RNA", at positions 501 to 1014 of the family's 1533-position model. The record is from RNAcentral.